CAGCAGCCGCGGUAAUACGCAGGGGGCUAGCGUUGUCCGGAAUUAUUGGGCGUAGAGGGCUCGCAGGCGGUUUCUUAAGUCUGAUGUGAAAGCCCCCGGCUCAACCGGGGAGGGUCAUUGGAAACUGGGAAACUUGAGUGCAGAAGAGGAGAGUGGAAUUCCACGUGUAGCGGUGAAAUGCGUAGAGAUGUGGAGGAACACCAGUGGCGAAGGCGACUCUCUGGUCUGUAACUGACGCUGAGGAGCGAAAGCGUGGGGAGCGAACAGGAUUAGAUACCCCUGUAGUCCCUGUCUCUUAUAA
RNAcentral lists this ribosomal RNA (301 nucleotides) under uncultured bacterium. RNAcentral's name for it is "partial 16S ribosomal RNA". It matches the Rfam family "Bacterial small subunit ribosomal RNA", at positions 509 to 809 of the family's 1533-position model. The record is from RNAcentral.